GACGAACGCUGGCGGCGUGCUUAACACAUGCAAGUCGAACGGAAAGGCCUGCUUUCCCUUGUGGAUUGCGGGUACUCGAGUGGCGAACGGGUGAGUAACACGUGAGUGAUCUGCCCCCAACUUGGGUAUAAGCCUGGGAAACUGGGUCUAAUUCCCGAUAGGACUGCAGGGUGGUGCCUGUGGUGGAAAACGAUUUUCUAGUGGUUGGGGAUGAGCUCGCGGCCUAUCAGCUUGUUGGUGGGGUAAUGGCCGACCAAGGCGGGGACGGGUAGCCGGCCGGGGAGGGGGGACGGCCACAUUGGGACUGGGACACGGCCCAGACGCCUACGGGAGGCGGCAGUGGGGAGUCUUGCACAAUGGGCGGAAGCCUGAUGCAGCGACGCCGCGUGGGGGAUGACGGCCUUCGGGUGGUAAACUCCUUGCGACCGCGAGGAAGCCACCUGGUUGGAAGGGUGGUGACGGUAGUGGUAGAAGAAGCACCGGCUAACUACGUG
Molecule: ribosomal RNA, 494 nt
Filed under: uncultured bacterium
Lineage: Bacteria
Description: partial 16S ribosomal RNA
Rfam family: Bacterial small subunit ribosomal RNA
Source: RNAcentral